Molecule: long non-coding RNA, 1385 nt
Organism: Dermacentor silvarum
Lineage: Eukaryota; Metazoa; Arthropoda; Arachnida; Ixodida; Ixodidae
Exons: 2
Source: RefSeq, a predicted model, not a curated record
UUGCCAAAAAUUGCGGCAGUACACACCGGAGGGCAAGUUUGAUCCAUUGGUCGAUGCACUUAAGAAAUUUCAUAAUUUUAUCAAUCUGACGGGUGUGCUUGGAAAUAGAGCCACAAAAAGCAUGCAGUGUGUCAUCAAAGUCCUUGAAGACAGCUGAUCAUCCAAGGCCAGGCACUUUGACCCCUUUUCAAGCUUGCCUACCUUGCCUUUGGAACCUAUUCUAUCAAGGCAGUCAAGUUGGAUUCCAUGACAACUUCCACUCACUGGCAUGUGUGCGUGCUAAUUGUAAAGGCCAUUUCCUUGACCCCCCCUUUCUUUUUUUCUUAAUUCUGUAUAUAUGUGACAUGUUUCUCCAUCAUCUUUUUCCCUUAACUUUUUCUGUUUUCAUUGGAAAGGUUAUUCAUUGACAUGCUUUAUUACAUAAGGUUGAGGGAAGACUGGCUUUAUUGACAACACAGUUCAAGGAAUUUUGAGCAGGCCAAGUUUUUUUUUUUUUAGUUGCGAAGAAUGUUCAACAACCUGUUCUACUUUGGAGAACACUUAAUAAUUGACAAGACUUCAUGUAACCACAAGUGCAUACAUCAAACAGCAAUGUACUGUGUGUUUUAUUGUUCUUUUAGUGACUGUUGUAUUUUAGUCACUAUUGUCACCAGGUGAUAUAGCUUAUUUAAGGAUUUUUGAAACAUUGUUUCAGCUUCUUAUUACUUUUCAACAUGUCUUUCACUCCUCCUGGAGACCUUUUUCUUGUUCUUUAUUGAGGUCUCUGUCAUCUCUACAGUGCAAUUCAUUUAUAAGGAUAUUCACAAAACCCCGACAUCUGGUCAUUGUAGCUCGUUAUUAUAUUUUCACUGGCCUUAAAUCCGCUAUCCAGUAAUGUUAAACAGGGCCCGAAGAGUUGGCACAUAAAGGCAGGGUGCUGCAUCAUAAGGUUGUGUGUGUCAGCUCUGCCUCAUCUGCACAGAUGUGCAUCUGCACAAGUGAGGCCACACAGUUUGGUUUGCCAACACAUCAGGUCCUAAUCAGGUGUAUAAGUACGGUCCACUGUUUAAGGGAACACUCCAGUGUGCAGCUCCCAUUUUGCGUGCACUCCAGCUGCAAGUGCUAGCUGAAGCAAUGUCAAUGUAUUGAACAGGGUUUGUAGAAAGGUACCAAUGCCACCAACCACUAGUCGCCUCACCGGCUGCAAAGCUGGACAAUUCCACACAUGCCAGGGGGUAAAUUUAGCAUGUGCUGUACAUAUGCGUUCCCUUUAACAGUGGACUGCAAUGUACAUUGUAGUAGUUGACCAUGCGUCCACACUAGGCUAGAACACCCUAUAUUAAAGCCCACCUACAGUUGCAUUGCAAAUUGUUGCGUUGUAAUCAGGAUGUCGAACAGGAAGAAAA